This 23-nucleotide non-coding RNA is filed under the name Arabidopsis thaliana (thale cress). The record is from RNAcentral. Lineage: Eukaryota; Viridiplantae; Streptophyta; Magnoliopsida; Brassicales; Brassicaceae.
GCCGUGGGUCCCACCCGCCAUGU